AAGGGAGACCUAAUUCAGGUAGGAGACGAAAAAAAGUAGUCCCUACCAAGAAUCAAUCCCAAAAGGUCGGAGCGAGGCAAAAUUGGCUUUCAAACUAGGUUCUGGGUUCACAUAAGACCUGAAUCAGGAACAAGGGCUAUUAGCUCAGGUGGUUAGAGCGCACCCCUGAUAGGGGUGAGGUCCCUGGUUCGAGUCCAGGAUGGCCCACCUGCACAGGUGGCAAAAACAAAGAAAAGAAGCUCCGAAUCAGCACCUUAUCUUACUCAUAUAGUAAGAGAGAAUGCUGGCUCUGAGUUCAGAGUCCAGAGGAACCUUGAAAACUGCAUAGAGCUAGGUGAAAAAGCCAAAAAAGAAGACCGCAAGGUCAAGCUAAUAAGGGCUAACGGUGGAUACCUAGGCAC
RNAcentral lists this transfer RNA (401 nucleotides) under uncultured Microcystis sp. RNAcentral's name for it is "bacterial LSU rRNA". The stretch from base 134 to 207 matches the Rfam family "tRNA". The record is from RNAcentral. Lineage: Bacteria; Bacillati; Cyanobacteriota; Cyanophyceae; Chroococcales; Microcystaceae.